Molecule: ribosomal RNA, 743 nt
Filed under: uncultured bacterium
Lineage: Bacteria
Description: bacterial SSU rRNA
Rfam family: Bacterial small subunit ribosomal RNA
Source: RNAcentral
AGAGUUUGAUCAUGGCUCAGAACGAACGCUGGCGGCAGGCUUAACACAUGCAAGUCGAACGCAUCCUUCGGGGUGAGUGGCAGACGGGUGAGUAACGCGUGGGAACGUGCCCUUCAGUUCGGAAUAACCCAGGGAAACUUGGGCUAAUACCGGAUACGUGCGAGAGCAGAAAGAUUUAUCGCUGAAGGAUCGGCCCGCGUCUGAUUAGCUAGUUGGUGGGGUAAUGGCCCACCAAGGCGACGAUCAGUAGCUGGUCUGAGAGGAUGAUCAGCCACAUUGGGACUGAGACACGGCCCAAACUCCUACGGGAGGCAGCAGUGGGGAAUAUUGGACAAUGGGCGCAAGCCUGAUCCAGCCAUGCCGCGUGAGUGAUGAAGGCCUUAGGGUUGUAAAGCUCUUUCGUCCGGGACGAUAAUGACGGUACCGGAAGAAGAAGCCCCGGCUAACUUCGUGCCAGCAGCCGCGGUAAUACGAAGGGGGCUAGCGUUGUUCGGAAUCACUGGGCGUAAAGGGCGCGUAGGCGGCUUGAUAAGUCGGGGGGUGAAAGCCUGUGGCUCAACCACAGAAUUGCCUUCGAUACUGUCUGGCUUGAGACCGGAAGAGGUAAGUGGAACUGCGAGUGUAGAGGUGAAAUUCGUAGAUAUUCGCAAGAACACCAGUGGCGAAGGCGGCUUACUGGUCCGGUUCUGACGCUGAGGCGCGAAAGCGUGGGGAGCAAACAGGAUUAGAUACCCUAGUAGUCC